GACGAACGCUGGCGGCGUGCUUAACACAUGCAAGUCGAACGCGAUUUUUGUGGAAAUUCUUUCGGGAAUGGAAAUGAAAUGAAAGUGGCGAACGGGUGAGUAACACGUGAGCAACCUACCUUACACGGGGGGAUAGCCGUUGGAAACGACGAUUAAUACCGCAUGAGACCACAGAAUCGCAUGAUAUAGGGGUCAAAGAUUUAUCGGUGUAAGAAGGGCUCGCGUCUGAUUAGCUAGUUGGAAGGGUAAAGGCCUACCAAGGCGACGAUCAGUAGCCGGUCUGAGAGGAUGAACGGCCACAUUGGAACUGAGACACGGUCCAAACUCCUACGGGAGGCAGCAGUGGGGAAUAUUGCACAAUGGGGGGAACCCUGAUGCAGCGACGCCGCGUGAGCGAAGAAGGUUUUCGAAUCGUAAAGCUCUGUCCUAUGAGAAGAUAAUGACGGUAUCAUAGGAGGAAG
This 461-nucleotide ribosomal RNA is filed under the name Parvimonas micra. RNAcentral describes it as "bacterial SSU rRNA". It matches the Rfam family "Bacterial small subunit ribosomal RNA", at positions 28 to 490 of the family's 1533-position model. Lineage: Bacteria; Bacillati; Bacillota; Tissierellia; Tissierellales; Peptoniphilaceae. The record is from RNAcentral.